RNAcentral lists this ribosomal RNA (440 nucleotides) under uncultured bacterium. RNAcentral's name for it is "bacterial SSU rRNA". It matches the Rfam family "Bacterial small subunit ribosomal RNA", at positions 338 to 770 of the family's 1533-position model. The record is from RNAcentral.
CCUACGGGUGGCAGCAGUGGGGAAUAUUGGACAAUGGGCGAAAGCCUGAUCCAGCCAUGCCGCGUGUGUGAAGAAGGUCUUCGGAUUGUAAAGCACUUUAAGUUGGGAGGAAGGGUUGUAGAUUAAUACUCUGCAAUUUUGACGUUACCGACAGAAUAAGCACCGGCUAACUCUGUGCCAGCAGCCGCGGUAAUACAGAGGGUGCAAGCGUUAAUCGGAAUUACUGGGCGUAAAGCGCGCGUAGGUGGUUAGUUAAGUUGGAUGUGAAAUCCCCGGGCUCAACCUGGGAACUGCAUUCAAAACUGACUGACUAGAGUAUGGUAGAGGGUGGUGGAAUUUCCUGUGUAGCGGUGAAAUGCGUAGAUAUAGGAAGGAACACCAGUGGCGAAGGCGACCACCUGGACUGAUACUGACACUGAGGUGCGAAAGCGUGGGGAGCA